RNAcentral lists this ribosomal RNA (461 nucleotides) under uncultured Streptococcus sp. Its description in RNAcentral is "bacterial SSU rRNA". It matches the Rfam family "Bacterial small subunit ribosomal RNA", at positions 923 to 1382 of the family's 1533-position model. Lineage: Bacteria; Bacillati; Bacillota; Bacilli; Lactobacillales; Streptococcaceae. The record is from RNAcentral.
GCACAAGCGGUGGAUGAUGUGGAUUAAUUCGAUGCAACGCGAAAAACCUUACCUACCCUUGACAUGUCCGGAAUCCCGAAGAGAUUUGGGAGUGCUCGCAAGAGAACCGGAACACAGGUGCUGCAUGGGCUGUCGUCAGCUCGUGUCGUGAGAUGUUGGGUUAAGUCCCGCAACGAGCGCAACCCCUAUUGUUAGUUGCCAUCAUUCAGUUGGGCACUCUAGCGAGACUGCCGGUAAUAAACCGGAGGAAGGUGGGGAUGACGUCAAAUCAUCAUGCCCCUUAUGACCUGGGCUACACACGUGCUACAAUGGUUGGUACAACGAGUUGCGAGUCGGUGACGGCGAGCUAAUCUCUUAAAGCCAAUCUCAGUUCGGAUUGUAGGCUGCAACUCGCCUACAUGAAGUCGGAAUCGCUAGUAAUCGCGGAUCAGCACGCCGCGGUGAAUACGUUCCCGGGCCUU